CGCGACCCCAGGUCAGGCGGGGCUACCCGCUGAGUUUAAGCAUAUCAAUAAGCGGAGGAAAAGAAACUAACGAGGAUUCCCCUAGUAACGGCGAGCGAACCG
Molecule: ribosomal RNA, 102 nt
Filed under: Acacia myrtifolia
Lineage: Eukaryota; Viridiplantae; Streptophyta; Magnoliopsida; Fabales; Fabaceae
Description: partial large subunit ribosomal RNA
Rfam family: Eukaryotic large subunit ribosomal RNA
Source: RNAcentral